UGAUGCAGCGACGCCGCGUGAGGGAUGACGGCCUUCGGGUUGUAAACCUCUUUCAGCAGGGACGAAGCGAAAGUGACGGUACCUGCAGAAGAAGCACCGGCCAACUACGUGCCAGCAGCCGCGGUAAUACGUAGGGUGCGAGCGUUGUCCGGAAUUACUGGGCGUAAAGAGCUCGUAGGCGGUUUGUCGCGUCGUCUGUGAAAACCAGCAGCUCAACUGCUGGCUUGCAGGCGAUACGGGCAGACUUGAGUACUGCAGGGGAGACUGGAAUUCCUGGUGUAGCGGUGAAAUGCGCAGAUAUCAGGAGGAACACCGGUGGCGAAGGCGGGUCUCUGGGCAGUAACUGACGCUGAGGAGCGAAAGCGUGGGUAGCGAACAGGAUUAGAUACCCUGGUAGUCCACGCCGUAAACGGUGGGCGCUAGGUGUGGGUUUCCUUCCACGGGAUCCGUGCCGUACCUAACGCAUUAAGCGCCCCGCCGGGGGAGUACGGCCGCAAGGCUAAAACUCAAAGGAAUUGACGGGGGCCCGCACAAGCGGCGGAGCAGGUGGAUUAAUUCGAUGCAACGCGAAAAACCUUACCUGGGUUUGACAUAUACCGGAAAGCCGUAAAGAUACGGCCCCCCUUGUGGU
This 631-nucleotide ribosomal RNA is filed under the name Rhodococcus sp. So1Pt_101. Its description in RNAcentral is "bacterial SSU rRNA". It matches the Rfam family "Bacterial small subunit ribosomal RNA", at positions 384 to 1025 of the family's 1533-position model. Lineage: Bacteria; Bacillati; Actinomycetota; Actinomycetes; Mycobacteriales; Nocardiaceae. The record is from RNAcentral.